Molecule: non-coding RNA, 415 nt
Organism: Pogona vitticeps (central bearded dragon)
Lineage: Eukaryota; Metazoa; Chordata; Lepidosauria; Squamata; Agamidae
Source: RefSeq, a predicted model, not a curated record
GAGCUUUCUGCCAAUAUGGGCCAUGCCCUCAAAAUUACAUAAACCUCGGGCGAUGUGGCUCGUCGAAGACAUGUUGUAAACGUCCCAUAAACAGUUAUUUUAGCUGUUUAUUCAUUCAUGGCAAGUGCUUGCUGUGGCAUUGCGUUCCUCCUUUUGUUCCUGAUGGGAGAUGUGGAAGAGCUAGUCCAUGCUGUGUGCGCCCACUAGAAGAUCUGAACACUUGCAUAUUCUCUAAUCAAGGCGUUUGCGCCACAUGGCGGUGUCCUUAUCCUUUAAUCGCCCAGGGAAUAUGUGAUGCGGGAUAUCCGUGCUGUGUCAGCCCCAAGGAAUCCUAGGGUUCAUGCCCACUUCGUCCAUGGCUUGAAGUGAAUAUGAAGCAUUUCACUUUAACCUCAGAGGCACUUCAGCAAUAAAA